Molecule: long non-coding RNA, 1118 nt
Organism: Spinacia oleracea (spinach)
Lineage: Eukaryota; Viridiplantae; Streptophyta; Magnoliopsida; Caryophyllales; Amaranthaceae
Exons: 6
Source: RefSeq, a predicted model, not a curated record
AGCCCUGUUGUUUUUUCCCCCUUAUUUGGAUCUGCUCUUCGAUUGAAUUGGAAAAAAUAAAGCGAUAAACCCUAGCUCUUCAUUCUUUGUGUGUUCGUUCUUUUUCAUCAUCUUCCUCGUUCUCUUCCAUCCUCUUCCUCAUUUUGAAGCAGUCCAAUUGGAGAUUGGCAUUUCUGAAUUGGCGAUUGGGUCUCAAAAUUGGAGAUAAUAGAAAUUGGCGAAUUGCAUUUCUGGAUUGACGGGAAGAACAAGUUUUGUUGUAUAGGUGACAAGAAAGUUGGUAAUGAUCCAUUGACUGCAUUCGGCUUUGGUGGAUGCAAAAUGACCAAUCAAGUACAAAAGUUCGAGUUUGUAGAAAGUAUAACCAGCUGAAACAUCACUGCUGCCAUUAUUUCUCUGUUUGUACAAUGCGACUCCUUCAAAUUACAUUUCUAUGAUUGUUACAGACUUUGGCAUGGUCAAUUUUCUGCCAGUUGAAAUUGAAUACAUGAACUGCAACCUAUUUUUGAGGGGGUUUUGGAGUAAAAAAGAAACUGAGGUGUUGUACAGUAAAGAAAAUAUUCAUCUUGAAGUUUGCCAGCCCUUCCGGUAAGCAAGUGCAGACCAAGCACGCUCUGCUGUUGGUUCUGGGCAAUCUUCUCUUGGAAUCAAAGAUCUACAUUGGUGAGAGUGGACAACAAAUAUGUAUGUUUGAGUAGGACAAAUAUUUCAUGGUUACUGAUGGGAAGACACAAAUGCUGGGUAUAUUAACAAAUGAAACAAAGUGCCUGAGGUGUGAGACCGUCACAACUAGAAAUGCGACAUUCUUCGUUCUAAGCCGUGAUAUAGAACAGAACAACUCCAUCCAAGGAUGGUGCAUAUAUUCAAGAAUUACAAGCUACUUUAAAUAUGUGAAGAUUCACAGGGGUUUUGGCACAUAAUUAUUAUAUAGGUUUUGAAAAAUAAAGUUAUCGGAUCGUGAUCGCAGGAUAAUUUUUUAUUUUAAUGGAUUUAGUUUUAGAACCUAUAUUUUUUUUACUAUUCAGACAACUGUAAUAGAUAUUAUGCUUAUAGAAUUAAGCUACUUGAAAUGUAUACGUUUUUUGAACUUAUUUGUUAUGAAAAUCUUAUUAUACGCA